RNAcentral lists this ribosomal RNA (260 nucleotides) under uncultured bacterium. Its description in RNAcentral is "partial 16S ribosomal RNA". It matches the Rfam family "Bacterial small subunit ribosomal RNA", at positions 524 to 776 of the family's 1533-position model. The record is from RNAcentral.
UACGUAGGGGGUCGAGCGUUUGUCCGGAGUUACUGGGCGUAAAGCGUGCGCAGGCGGUUUGCUAAGACAGGUGUGAAAAUCCCCCGGGCUUAACCUGGGAACUGCGCUUGUAACUGGCAAGCUGGAGUGUGGCAGAGGGGGGGUGGAAUUCCACGUGUAGCAGUGAAAUGCGUAGAGAUGUGGAGGAACACCGAUGGCGAAGGCAGCCCCCUGGGCUAACACUGACGCCUCAUGCACGAAAGCGUGGGGGAGCAAACAGG